RNAcentral lists this ribosomal RNA (451 nucleotides) under uncultured bacterium. Its description in RNAcentral is "bacterial SSU rRNA". It matches the Rfam family "Bacterial small subunit ribosomal RNA", at positions 354 to 796 of the family's 1533-position model. The record is from RNAcentral.
GUGGGGAAUAUUGGACAAUGGGCGAAAGCCUGAUCCAGCGACGCCGCGUGAGUGAUGAAGGCCUUCGGGUUGUAAAGCUCUGUUGAGGGAGAAGAAAACAGUUAGGACGAAUAGCCCUAGCUCUUGACGGUAUCCCUUUAGAAAGCACCGGCUAACUCUGUGCCAGCAGCCGCGGUAAGACAGAGGGUGCAAACGUUGCUCGGAAUUACUGGGCGUAAAGCGCGUGUAGGCGGGCUUGUAAGUUGGACGUGAAAGCCCUGGGCUCAACCCAGGAAUUGCAUCCAAAACUACAAGUCUAGAGUGAUGGAGAGGGUCGCAGAAUUCCUGGUGUAGAGGUGAAAUUCGUAGAUAUCAGGAGGAACACCGGUGGCGAAGGCGGCGACCUGGACAUUAACUGACGCUGAGACGCGAAAGCGUGGGGAGCAAACAGGAUUAGAAACCCUUGUAGUCC